RNAcentral lists this ribosomal RNA (119 nucleotides) under Podarcis lilfordi (Lilford's wall lizard). Lineage: Eukaryota; Metazoa; Chordata; Lepidosauria; Squamata; Lacertidae. The record is from RNAcentral.
GUCUACGGCCAUACUAUCCUGAACACGCCCGAUCUCGUCUGAUCUCGGAAGCUAAGCAGGGUCAGGCCUGGUUAGUACUUGAAUGGGAGACCGCCUGGGAAUACCGGGUGCCGUAGGCU